This 334-nucleotide long non-coding RNA is filed under the name Apteryx rowi (Okarito brown kiwi). RNAcentral's name for it is "lncRNA (ENSARWG00000009895.1)". The record is from RNAcentral. Lineage: Eukaryota; Metazoa; Chordata; Aves; Apterygiformes; Apterygidae.
AUUUUCUCUUUACCUAAAAUGCUUUCACUUCCAUUUGUGGUGUAGUGAGGUGAGAAGCUUCUUGUCACCUGAGCUCUGCUUCAUCUGACACUGACUUCUUAGGUGGCCCAGAAAAAUCCCUGAACUUUUUGCUUGAAUCUCAGCUGACAAAUGGGAAGAUGUCUGAGGAGGAGCAAACCUGCGCAUCUGAGACUCUGAGGACAGACUGAGAGUUCCAGAUUUCAGAUGAUUCAUCUGGCCUGAAAGACGUGUCUAGAAACUUGCUAUGAUUUAUAGCAGUUAAUAUACUUUUGGUGGUAAUAAAGUGGCUUGAUCAGGUUCUGCUCUUCUGUUG